This 433-nucleotide ribosomal RNA is filed under the name uncultured bacterium. RNAcentral describes it as "partial 16S ribosomal RNA". It matches the Rfam family "Bacterial small subunit ribosomal RNA", at positions 29 to 507 of the family's 1533-position model. The record is from RNAcentral.
AACGAACGCUGGCAGCAUGCCUAACACAUGCAAGUCGAACGAGACCUUCGGGUCUAGUGGCGCACGGGUGCGUAACGCGUGGGAACCUGCCCUUAGGUUCGGAAUAACUCCCCGAAAGGGGUGCUAAUACCGGAUAAUGUCUUCGGACCAAAGAUUUAUCGCCUUUGGAUGGGCCCGCGUUGGAUUAGCUAGUUGGUAGGGUAAAAGCCUACCAAGGCGACGAUCCAUAGCUGGUCUGAGAGGAUGAUCAGCCACACUGGGACUGAGACACGGCCCAGACUCCUACGGGAGGUAGCAGUGGGGAAUAUUGGACAAUGGGCGAAAGCCUGAUCCAGCAAUGCCGCGUGAGUGAUGAAGGCCUUAGGGUUGUAAAGCUCUUUUACCCGGGAUGAUAAUGACAGUACCGGGAGAAUAAGCUCCGGCUAACUCCGUG